RNAcentral lists this ribosomal RNA (903 nucleotides) under uncultured Bacteroidota bacterium. Its description in RNAcentral is "bacterial SSU rRNA". It matches the Rfam family "Bacterial small subunit ribosomal RNA", at positions 1 to 894 of the family's 1533-position model. Lineage: Bacteria; Pseudomonadati; Bacteroidota. The record is from RNAcentral.
UGGAUCCAGACUUUGAUUAUGGCUCAGGAUGAACGCUAGCUACAGGCUUAACACAUGCAAGUCGAGGGGAAACGAUAUUGGAAGCUUGCUUCCGAUAGGCGUCGACCGGCGCACGGGUGAGUAACGCGUAUCCAACCUGCCCAUCACUUGGGAAUAACCUUGCGAAAGUAAGACUAAUGCCCAAUGACAUUUAUAGAAGGCAUCUGAAAUGAAUUAAAGAUUUAUCGGUGAUGGAUGGGGAUGCGUCUGAUUAGCUUGUUGGCGGGGUAACGGCCCACCAAGGCGACGAUCAGUAGGGGUUCUGAGAGGAAGGUCCCCCACAUUGGAACUGAGACACGGUCCAAACUCCUACGGGAGGCAGCAGUGAGGAAUAUUGGUCAAUGGGCGAGAGCCUGAACCAGCCAAGUAGCGUGCAGGGUGACGGCCCUAUGGGUUGUAAACUGCUUUUAUAGGGGAAUAAAGUGAGCCACGCGUGGUUUUUUGCAUGUACCCUAUGAAUAAGGACCGGCUAAUUCCGUGCCAGCAGCCGCGGUAAUACGGAAGGUCCGGGCGUUAUCCGGAUUUAUUGGGUUUAAAGGGAGCGUAGGCCGGAGAUUAAGCGUGUUGUGAAAUGUAGAUGCUCAACAUCUGAACUGCAGCGCGAACUGGUUUCCUUGAGUACGCAUAAAGUGGGCGGAAUUCGUGGUGUAGCGGUGAAAUGCUUAGAUAUCACGAAGAGCUCCGAUUGCGAAGGCAGCUCACUGGGGCGCAACUGACGCUGAAGCUCGAAAGCGCGGGUAUCGAACAGGAUUAGAUACCCUGGUAGUCCGCGCGGUAAACGAUGGAUGCCCGCUGUUGGGCCAACUGGUUCAGCGGCCAAGCGAAAGCAUUAAGCAUCCCACCUGGGGAGUACGCCGGCAACGG